This 537-nucleotide long non-coding RNA is filed under the name Ficedula albicollis (Collared flycatcher). RNAcentral's name for it is "lncRNA (ENSFALG00000026005.1)". The record is from RNAcentral. Lineage: Eukaryota; Metazoa; Chordata; Aves; Passeriformes; Muscicapidae.
UUCAGGAUUUGCCAGGGAUGGUUUGCCAGGGAUGGUUUGCCAGGGAUGGUUUAGGGUUUGUUCAGGGUUUGUCAGGGAUGGUUCAGGGUUUGUCAGGGGUGGUUUAGGGUUUGUCAGGAAUGAUUCAGUGUUUGUCAAGAGUGGUUUAGGGUUUGUCAGGGGUGGUUCAGGGUUUGUCAGGAAUGAUUCAGUGUUUGUCAAGAGUGGUUUAGGGUUUGUCAGGGAUGGUUCAGGGUUUGUCAGGGGUGGUUCAGGGUUUGUCAGGAAUGAUUCAGUGUUUGUCAAGAGUGGUUUAGGGUUUGUCAGGGAUGGUUCAUGGUUUGUCAGGAGUGGUUCAGGAUUUGCCAGGGAUGGUUUAGGGUUUGUUCAGGGUUUGUCAGGGAUGGUUCAGGGUUUGUCAGGGGUGGUUCAGGGUUUGUCAGGAAUGAUUCAGUGUUUGUCAAGAGUGGUUUAGGGUUUGUCAGGGAUGGUUCAGGGUUUGUCAGGGGUGGUUCAGGGUUUGUCAGGAAUGAUUCAGUGUUUGUCAAGAGUGGUUUA